RNAcentral lists this transfer RNA (69 nucleotides) under Dryobates pubescens (Downy woodpecker). Its description in RNAcentral is "Picoides pubescens (Downy woodpecker) tRNA-Lys". Lineage: Eukaryota; Metazoa; Chordata; Aves; Piciformes; Picidae. The record is from RNAcentral.
GUCAAGAAGCUAUGAACCAACGCUAGCCUUUUAAGCUAGAGAAAGUGGGAUCUUCCCCUCCUCGACGAG